Molecule: non-coding RNA, 75 nt
Organism: Oryza sativa Indica Group (long-grained rice)
Lineage: Eukaryota; Viridiplantae; Streptophyta; Magnoliopsida; Poales; Poaceae
Source: Rfam
AGGAGCCGUAUGAGGUGAAAACCUCAUGUACGGUUUUGGAACGGAGAUUUUUUGAAUAGAACGAACGACCGUAAC